RNAcentral lists this long non-coding RNA (940 nucleotides) under Vulpes vulpes (red fox). RNAcentral describes it as "lncRNA (ENSVVUG00000009755.1)". Lineage: Eukaryota; Metazoa; Chordata; Mammalia; Carnivora; Canidae. The record is from RNAcentral.
CCUCUCACAAACCAGCAAUGAGUGUUAACAUGCCAUGACUUGAAGAGAGUAAUUAACUCAACUCUCUAUAUCCAAAAUUAGAAAAAAAGAUCAAAAAACAAUUUUUGUUUUGAAACUACUCUAUGAUGAUGAAUAAUAAGGUAUUAUGUCCCAUGACAACAGGCUCAUAAAAGAUUCUGGAGUAGCUCCAAGAGGGGCAUUCAAGAGCUUAAUCUGGUUAGAACAGAAGGAAGGAAAUUCCCUGUAAGGCUGUUAAGUAUGGAUCUAAGCUCCUCCCAUCCUCACACUGACUGGACAAAAUUGAAAAGAGACAAUAUUUGCUUAGCAAGCAUUUCCCUCCUUAGCCUUCUCAUAAAUUGCUUUUCUAGGUCUCCUAUGCUUCUUCCUGAACCUAUCUCUAGAUUAUUUCACAUGAAGUUGUUAUUGACAUAGACCUCUUUGUCAGAAAGAAACGAAUCUCCAACGCAGCUGUGUUUAAUUGAGACACACACCAAAAACACUCAAGGAGCUUUUAACCAAAAUCCGUAUGUCCCAGCUCUACCUCUAUAGACUCUGAUUCAGUAAAUUUGCAUUUAUGUAGUGGUAGAAUGGAAAAGAAAGAAGUAAAGUGUGUCUUAGAAUGCUAAGAAACUUGUGUUCAGCUGGUCCUGAGCAUUUAUCCAAGUAUAUCUCUCCACUUCCUAGGCCCAUCACAUCAGCUAUAAAGACUUCUAAGCCAUUUGCCUACAGGGAACAGGAGACAGUCAGUAGUCCUGACUACUCCCCUUCGCACCACUCACCUGCUUCUCAACCUAAUACCCCAGCAGCAUGUGGAAGAAAGUGGCAGCUCUCUCAUCUGUCACGAAGAACCCAACAAGUGCUGCUGUCAGUUUCAGGCCGAGUUGCACUGAACCCACAAUCCGAAUACAGGAAAGAAGGAUCAAUAGGACCUCAAGAGUGA